UACGUAGGUGGCAAGCGUUGUCCGGAUUUAUUGGGUUUAAAGGGUGCGUAGGCGGUCUAUUAAGUCAGCGGUGAAAUACUCCAGCUUAACUGGAGGGGUACCAUUGAUACUGAUGGACUUGAGUCAAGUCGAGGUAGGCGGAAUUGACGGUGUAGCGGUGAAAUGCUUAGAUAUCGUCAAGAACACCAAUAGUGAAGACAGCUUACUGGGCUUAAACUGACGCUGAGGCACGAAAGUGUGGGGAUCAAACAGG
RNAcentral lists this ribosomal RNA (253 nucleotides) under uncultured bacterium. RNAcentral describes it as "partial 16S ribosomal RNA". It matches the Rfam family "Bacterial small subunit ribosomal RNA", at positions 524 to 776 of the family's 1533-position model. The record is from RNAcentral.